AACACGGGAACACCCACCUUUAGAGAUGAGACACAAGCAGGAGAAGAGGGAUUAAACCUGCUAGUUUUGGAAAAAAAAAAAAAAAGGAAAGAAAAGAAAAGAAAGAAAGAAAAACAAAAAACAACAACAAACAGAAAAAUGCAAAACUGCAGAACACGCAGUGGAGGUUGGAUUCAGAGGACAUGGGGAUCAGUGUGGGCUGUGCUGGUCAAGGAGGGCUUCCAGGGAGAGGUGGGGAGGAAACAGGGUCCACCCGCUGCUGCACAAGAGGGGUGUGUGCAGACCGUCACCUUGUGUCUGCUGUAGCAGGAGACCCCUGGCCAUGCGGGACUGAACCCAUGAUUGCAGCUGAUCUUACUCUGUCUCUUCUCUGUGUGAGUAAAGUGUUGUUCCAUCUAGUGCCUGUGUGAGUCGUGUCUUUCGUGGCGACACCUAUAAACCAUGGAGUGGGCUGACAUCCUGGUUCUGCUGCUCCUGGUGGCGGGCAUUGUUGUGCUGUUUGCCGUCCUCUACACAGUGCGAAUCUUCUCUACCCUGCCCGAGUCUCGGCAUCUCCAC
RNAcentral lists this long non-coding RNA (558 nucleotides) under Homo sapiens (human). RNAcentral describes it as "HSALNT0382222". Lineage: Eukaryota; Metazoa; Chordata; Mammalia; Primates; Hominidae. The record is from RNAcentral.